CUACAUAUCAAUAAGCGGAGGAAAAGAAACUAACAAGGAUUCCCCUAGUAACUGCGAGUGAAGCGGGAAAAGCUCAAAUUUAAAAUCUGGCAGUCUCUGGCUGUCCGAGUUGUAAUCUAGAGAAGUAAUGCCCGUGCUGGACCGUGUAUAAGUCUCCUGGGAUGGGGCGUCAUAGAGGGUGAGAAUCCCGUCUUUGACACGGACUACCAGUGCAUUGUGGUAUGCUCUCAAAGAGUCGAGUUGUUUGGGAAUGCAGCUCAAAAUGGGUGGUAAAUUCCAUCUAAAGCUAAAUAUUGGCGAGAGACCGAUAGCGAACAAGUACCGUGAGGGAAAGAUGAAAAGAACUUUGGAAAGAGAGUUAAACAGUACGUGAAAUUGCUGAAAGGGAAACGCUUGAAGUCAGUCGCGUUGGCCGGGAAUCAGCCUUGCUUUUGCAUGGUGUACUUUCUGGUUGACGGGUCAGCAUCAAUUUUGACCGCUGGAAAAAGGCCUGGGGAAUGUGGCAGCUUCGGCUGUGUUAUAGCCCCUAGUCACAUACAGUGGUUGGGAUUGAGGAACUCAGCACGCCGCAAGGCCGGGUUUCGACCACGUUCGUGCUUAGGAUGCUGGCAUAAUGGCUUUAAGCGACCCGUCUUGAAACACGGACCAAGGAGUCUAACAUGCCUGCGAGUAUUUGGGUGGAAAACCCAAGUGCGUAAUGAAAGUGAAAGUUGAGAUCCCUGUCGUGGGGAGCAUCGACGCCCGGACCAGAACUUUUGGGACGGAUCCGCGGUGGAGCAUGUAUGUUGGGACCCGAAAGAUGGUGAACUAUGCCUGAAUAGGGUGAAGCCAGAGGAAACUCUGGUGGAGGCUCGUAGCGAUUCUGACGUGCAAAUCGAUCGUCAAAUUUGGGUAUAGGGGCGAAAGACUAAUCGAACCAUCCAUCUGC
This 928-nucleotide ribosomal RNA is filed under the name Agaricus sp. RNAcentral describes it as "LSU rRNA". It matches the Rfam family "Eukaryotic large subunit ribosomal RNA", at positions 34 to 951 of the family's 3401-position model. Lineage: Eukaryota; Fungi; Basidiomycota; Agaricomycetes; Agaricales; Agaricaceae. The record is from RNAcentral.